Rhipicephalus sanguineus (brown dog tick) is the source of this 280-nucleotide long non-coding RNA. RefSeq lists it as uncharacterized. Lineage: Eukaryota; Metazoa; Arthropoda; Arachnida; Ixodida; Ixodidae. The transcript has 3 exons. The record is from RefSeq and is a predicted model, not a curated record.
AGACCCUAGACGUAUCGGCCAAAUCUCUGAGGACCUUCAGCCAUAUUGGUGAAUCUGAACAUGAACCGCUCACUGGGGAUCGACUUUAUUGUCGCUGUUGCUGUCGCAAUAGCUGUCCUGAUCAUGGCGCCGAACGAAGCUGCUGCCAUACACGGUGAUUUUGUCAACCCGUUGGGCCGCAAGAAGUGAACCAAUGCUACCCGGCGAUGAAGUCGUUCCUCUUUUUCUAAUUGCAUAAAUCUUCAGUCAUGUCGAAUAAAAGAAUUUAGCAAAGACGAAA